GUUAUGGCAACCCUAGCUAGCUGAUUCAUGCAGACAGAUAUCCUUAUCAACAAGAAAACAAUGGUUGAAGAUUUGUAAAACUGCUACACUCCCUGAGGGAAUCCAGUUGCUGUUGGUCAGCCAUGGUACUGGGUCCUGUGGACAAGAGGGGAGCAAAGCAGGCUCAGGUCUGCUUUCUCAGCACUGCCGUUUUCACAGGAGACCCAUGUGUACUAGGGUUCUGUGAAGAAUUGAUGCUUGAGUUCCAAUCUGAGGGCACUCAGUAGGGGAUGCUGGCUCCCUUUGGAGCAGACGCCCUGCCAUAGAAGGAAGGUGCAAGAUGAAAAAGAACAUGUCACAGGGGGUAGGGUCUCUUCCUCCACUCCUAACAGAUGAGACAGUUGACUCCUGUUGUGUAGCAAUCCCGAGGAAACAUGGACAAGCACUAAUUCGCCCAUGAUAGUUUGGUGGUUCAAUGAAGCUGGAUCCAGACAGAUUCAUAAUUCCAGGCUGUUUUCUGAAUUUCUGAAUAAAUGGCAGGACAAAAAA
This is a non-coding RNA of Peromyscus maniculatus bairdii (prairie deer mouse), 528 nucleotides long. Lineage: Eukaryota; Metazoa; Chordata; Mammalia; Rodentia; Cricetidae. The record is from RefSeq and is a predicted model, not a curated record.